Molecule: ribosomal RNA, 495 nt
Filed under: uncultured bacterium
Lineage: Bacteria
Description: partial 16S ribosomal RNA
Rfam family: Bacterial small subunit ribosomal RNA
Source: RNAcentral
GACGAACGCUGGCGGCGUGCCUAAUACAUGCAGGUAGAACGCUGAAGGAGGAGCUUGCUUCUCUGGAUGAGUUGCGAACGGGUGAGUAACGCGUAGGUAACCUGCCUGGUAGCGGGGGAUAACUAUUGGAAACGAUAGCUAAUACCGCAUAAUAUUGACUAUUGCAUGAUAGUCAGUUGAAAGGUGCAACUGCACCACUACCAGAUGGACCUGCGUUGUAUUAGCUAGUUGGUGGGGUAACGGCUCACCAAGGCGACGAUACAUAGCCGACCUGAGAGGGUGGUCGGCCACACAGGGACGGAUACACGGCGCAGACUCCUCCGGGCGGCAGCAGCAGGGAAAGUGCGGCAAGUGACGGAAGUAUGAACGAGCAACGCCGGGGGAGUGAAGAAGGUUCUCGGAUCGUAAAGCUCUGUUGUAAGAGAAGAACGAGUGGGAGAGUGGAAAGCUCACACUGUGACGGUAGCUUACCAGAAAGGGACGGCUAACUACGUG